Molecule: ribosomal RNA, 552 nt
Filed under: uncultured bacterium
Lineage: Bacteria
Description: bacterial SSU rRNA
Rfam family: Bacterial small subunit ribosomal RNA
Source: RNAcentral
UAGGGAAUCUUCGGCAAUGGACGGAAGUCUNGACCGAGCAACGCCGCGUGAGUGAAGAAGGUUUUCGGAUCGUAAAGCUCUGUUGUAAGAGAAGAACGAGUGUGAGAGUGGAAAGUUCACACUGUGACGGUAUCUUACCAGAAAGGGACGGCUAACUACGUGCCAGCAGCCGCGGGUAAUACGUAGGUCCCGAGCGUUGUCCGGAUUUAUUGGGCGUAAAGCGAGCGCAGGCGGUUAGAUAAGUCUGAAGUUAAAGGCUGUGGCUUAACCAUAGUAGGCUUUGGAAACUGUUUAACUUGAGUGCAAGAGGGGAGAGUGGAAUUCCAUGUGUAGCGGUGAAAUGCGUAGAUAUAUGGAGGAACACCGGUGGCGAAAGCGGCUCUCUGGCUUGUAACUGACGCUGAGGCUCGAAAGCGUGGGGAGCAAACAGGAUUAGAUACCCUGGUAGUCCACGCUGUAAACGAUGAGUGCUAGGCGUUAGACCCUUUCCGGGGUUUAGUGCCGUAGCUAACGCAUUAAGCACUCCGCCUGGGGAGUACGACCGCAAGGUUG